Molecule: ribosomal RNA, 451 nt
Filed under: uncultured bacterium
Lineage: Bacteria
Description: partial 16S ribosomal RNA
Rfam family: Bacterial small subunit ribosomal RNA
Source: RNAcentral
GUGGGGAAUAUUGGACAAUGGGGGGAACCCUGAUCUAGCCAUGCCGCGUGUGUGAAGAAGGCCUUUUGGUUGUAAAGCACUUUAAGCGAGGAGGAGGCUACCGAGAUUAAUACUCUUGGAUAGUGGACGUUACUCACAGAAUAAGCACCGGCUAACUCUGUGCCAGCAGCCGCGGUAAUACAGAGGGUGCAAGCGUUAAUCGGAUUUACUGGGCGUAAAGCGCGCGUAGGUGGCCAAUUAAGUCAAAUGUGAAAUCCCCGAGCUUAACUUGGGAAUUGCAUUCGAUACUGGUUGGCUAGAGUAUGGGAGAGGAUGGUAGAAUUCCAGGUGUAGCGGUGAAAUGCGUAGAGAUCUGGAGGAAUACCGAUGGCGAAGGCAGCCAUCUGGCCUAAUACUGACACUGAGGUGCGAAAGCAUGGGGAGCAAACAGGAUUAGAAACCCCUGUAGUCC